RNAcentral lists this ribosomal RNA (449 nucleotides) under uncultured bacterium. RNAcentral describes it as "partial 16S ribosomal RNA". It matches the Rfam family "Bacterial small subunit ribosomal RNA", at positions 354 to 796 of the family's 1533-position model. The record is from RNAcentral.
GUCGAGAAUCAUUCACAAUGGGGGAAACCCUGAUGGUGUGACGCCGCGUGGAGGAUGAAGGUCUUCGGAUUGUAAACUCCUGUCAUGUGGGAGUAAAGCCGGGUGUUAAAUGCAUGCCGGUCUGAGAGUACCACAAGAGGAAGGGACGGCUAACUCUGUGCCAGCAGCCGCGGUAAUACAGAGGUCCCAAGCGUUGUUCGGAAUCACUGGGCGUAAAGGGUGCGUAGGCGGCGCGGAAAGUCAGGGGUGAAAUCCCGGAGCUCAACUCCGGAACUGCCUUUGAUACUCCCGCGCUUGAGAACUGGAGGGGAGACCGGAAUUCACGGUGGAGCAGUGAAAUGCGUGGAUAUCGUGAGGAACACUAGUGGCGAAGGCGGGUCUCUGGACAGUAUCUGACGCUGAGGCACGAAGGCCAGGGGAGCGAACGGGAUUAGAUACCCUGGUAGUCC